RNAcentral lists this ribosomal RNA (468 nucleotides) under uncultured bacterium. RNAcentral's name for it is "partial 16S ribosomal RNA". It matches the Rfam family "Bacterial small subunit ribosomal RNA", at positions 28 to 507 of the family's 1533-position model. The record is from RNAcentral.
GACUAACGCUGGCGGCGUGCUUAACACAUGCAAGUCGAACGGAAAGGCCCUGCUUUUGUGGGGUGCUCGAGUGGCGAACGGGUGAGUAACACGUGAGUAACCUGCCCUUGACUUUGGGAUAACUUCAGGAAACUGGGGCUAAUACCGGAUAGGAGCUCCUGCUGCAUGGUGGGGGUUGGAAAGUUUCGGCGGUUGGGGAUGGACUCGCGGCUUAUCAGCUUGUUGGUGGGGUAGUGGCUUACCAAGGCUUUGACGGGUAGCCGGCCUGAGAGGGUGACCGGCCACAUUGGGACUGAGAUACGGCCCAGACUCCUACGGGAGGCAGCAGUGGGGAAUAUUGCGCAAUGGGCGGAAGCCUGAUGCAGCAACGCCGCGUGCGGGAUGACGGCCUUCGGGUUGUAAACCGCUUUCGCCUGUGACGAAGCGUGAGUGACGGUAAUGGGUAAAGAAGCACCGGCUAACUACGUG